UACGUAGGGUGCAAGCGUUGUCCGGAAUUAUUGGGCGUAAAGAGCUCGUAGGCGGUUUGUCGCGUCUGCUGUGAAAACCCGAGGCUCAACCUCGGGCCUGCAGUGGGUACGGGGCAGACUAGAGUGCGGUAGGGGAGAUUGGAAUUCCUGGUGUAGCGGUGGAAUGCGCAGAUAUCAGGAGGAACACCGAUGGCGAAGGCAGAUCUCUGGGCCGUAACUGACGCUGAGGAGCGAAAGCGUGGGGAGCGAACAGG
RNAcentral lists this ribosomal RNA (254 nucleotides) under uncultured bacterium. RNAcentral describes it as "partial 16S ribosomal RNA". It matches the Rfam family "Bacterial small subunit ribosomal RNA", at positions 524 to 776 of the family's 1533-position model. The record is from RNAcentral.